RNAcentral lists this ribosomal RNA (500 nucleotides) under uncultured bacterium. Its description in RNAcentral is "partial 16S ribosomal RNA". It matches the Rfam family "Bacterial small subunit ribosomal RNA", at positions 30 to 523 of the family's 1533-position model. The record is from RNAcentral.
AUUGAACGCUGGCGGCAUGCCUUACACAUGCAAGUCGAACGGCAGCACGGGAGCAAUCCUGGUGGCGAGUGGCGAACGGGUGAGUAAAGUAUCGGAACGUGCCCAGUCGUGGGGGAUAACGUAGCGAAAGUUACGCUAAUACCGCAUACGAUCUAUGGAUGAAAGCGGGGGAUCGCAAGACCUCGCGCGAUUGGAGCGGCCGAUAUCAGAUUAGGUAGUUGGCGGGGUAAAGGCUCACCAAGCCGACGAUCUGGAGCUGGUCUGAGAGGACGACCAGCCACACUGGGACUGAGACACGGCCCAGAAUCCUACGGGAGGCAGCAGUGGGGAAUUUUGGACAAUGGGCGAAAGCCUGAUCCAGCCAUGCCGCGUGCAGGAUGAAGGCCUUCGGGUUGUAAACUGCUUUUGUACGGAACGAAAAGGUUUGGCCUAAUAAGCUGAGCUCAUGACGGUACCGUAAGAAUAAGCACCGGCUAACUACGUGCCAGCCGCCGCAGUAA